GACGGGGGAUGCAAGCGUUAUCCGGAAUCACUGGGCGUAAAGCGUCUGUAGGUGGUGAUGCAAGUCACUGGUGCAAAACUCUGGCUCAACCGGAGGAAAGCCAGUGAAACUGCAUGACUAGAGUGUGGGAGAGGUAGAAGGAAUUCCCUGAGUAGCGGUGAAAUGCGUAGAUACAGGGAAGAACACCGGAGGCGAAAGCGUUCUACUGGAACACAACUGACGCUGAGGGACGAAAGCUAGGGGAGCAAACCGG
RNAcentral lists this ribosomal RNA (253 nucleotides) under uncultured bacterium. RNAcentral describes it as "partial 16S ribosomal RNA". It matches the Rfam family "Bacterial small subunit ribosomal RNA", at positions 524 to 776 of the family's 1533-position model. The record is from RNAcentral.